This 1169-nucleotide long non-coding RNA is filed under the name Equus caballus (horse). RNAcentral describes it as "lncRNA (ENSECAG00000059476.1)". Lineage: Eukaryota; Metazoa; Chordata; Mammalia; Perissodactyla; Equidae. The record is from RNAcentral.
CCCAGAUCACAGGAAUCGCGGGGAAGGGCUUAAGGAAACUUCGGGGUGCUGCUGCUAGAAGAAGGGGAGACGGAUGCGUCACAAGAGAAGCAAUGUGUGUCUGUACCCCAGUGCUUUGUCGGUCCAGUGAGCGAGCCUGAGGCAGCUGAGAGAGGGAGGAAGGCAGCUGCUCGUGGCCUCAGAGGGGGCGAGGGCCUCACUGGGCAGCCUGGCCCCAAGUCCUGCUGCUCUGCUGUGCCACGAGCCCCCAUCUCCGACAGUUCCCCCGGCCCUGCUCCUCCCGGCUGCUGCGGGAAGGCACCCAGGCCCUAAGCCAGCCACGAUGGCCAGUGUGGCAGCUGGAUAGUGCCACCCAAAGAUGUCCAGGUCCUAAUCCCCGAAACCCAAGAAUAUGUGACCUUCCAUGGCAAAGGGACUUUGCGGAUGUGGUUAAGUUGUGGGUGUUGAGACAGGGAGGUUGUCCUGAAUGACCCAGGUGGGCCCGACGCGAUCACCAGCAUCCUCACGUGAGGGAGGCAGCCGGAGAUUGGACACAGAAGUAGGACAGGUGACAGUAGGAGUAAGAGGUUGGAGUGAUGCGAGGAAGAGGUCACAAGCCAAGAGUGCAGGUGGCCCGCAGAAGGUGGAAAAGGCAAGGAAACGGACUGUCCCCCGGAGACUGCAGAGGGCGCCAGCUCUGCCCGCACCGUGACUUCCGCCCAGCGAGAUGGAGUUGGGACUCCUGGCCUCUGGAACUGUAAGGGGAUACGUUUGUGUUGUUUGAAAAGUGAGCAAGACACAGAGUUUCAGUUUUGCAAGAUGGAAAAACUUCUGCGGAGCUGUUUCACAACGAUGAGCCAUGAUGUCCCAGGAGGAGGACCAUCCAUUCACCCAACACAUUCUGCCCGUGUAGAUGUCUGCACUGUUCCCUUCCUCACGCUGCCUUUCCUGAAGUCAGCUUAGCAGUUCCUAUGCGUCCCGCAAAUGCCUCUCCUAAAGAUGCCCCCCGUGUCCUGUGUCACACUGAAUAGUUAUUCUGUGUUGGGCUCCCUCUGGCCCAGGACUUCUGUAGGACAGAGCUCUGACCCCAGGGCCAUUGACCGUGCUGCCCCCUCUCUGCAGCUCACAGCAGCCUCCACACCCUGUCCCUGCACGGGGACAUUUUUGGCCACUGGCACGUACCACAGUGG